AUGCGCCGCCUACCAUGCAAGUCGAACGAGCGAGAGAGAGCUUGCUUUCUCAAGCGAGUGGCGAACGGGUGAGUAACGCGUGAGGAACCUGCCUCAAAGAGGGGGACAACAGUUGGAAACGACUGCUAAUACCGCAUAAGCCCACGACCCGGCAUCGGGUUGAGGGAAAAGGAGCAAUCCGCUUUGAGAUGGCCUCGCGUCCGAUUAGCUGGUUGGUGAGGUAACGGCCCACCAAGGCAACGAUCGGUAGCCGGACUGAGAGGUUGAACGGCCACAUUGGGACUGAGACACGGCCCAGACUCCUACGGGAGGCAGCAGUGGGGAAUAUUGCACAAUGGGGGAAACCCUGAUGCAGCGACGCCGCGUGGAGGAAGAAGGUCUUCGGAUUGUAAACUCCUGUUGUUGAGGAAGAUAAUGACGGUACUCAACAAGGAAGUGACGGCUAACUACGUGCCAGCAGCCGCGGUAAAACGUAGGUCACAAGCGUUGUCCGGAAUUACUGGGUGUAAAGGGAGCGCAGGCGGGAAGACAAGUUGGAAGUGAAAUCUAUGGGCUCAACCCAUAAACUGCUUUCAAAACUGUUUUUCUUGAGUAGUGCAGAGGUAGGCGGAAUUCCCGGUGUAGCGGUGGAAUGCGUAGAUAUCGGGAGGAACACCAGUGGCGAAGGCGGCCUACUGGGCACCAACUGACGCUGAGGCUCGAAAGUGUGGGUAGCAAACAGGAUUAGAUACCCUGGUAGUCCACACCGUAAACGAUGAUUACUAGGUGUUGGAGGAUUGACCCCUUCAGUGCCGCAGUUAACACAAUAAGUAAUCCACCUGGGGAGUACGACCGCAAGGUUGAAACUCAAAGGAAUUGACGGGGGCCCGCACAAGCAUGGA
This 881-nucleotide ribosomal RNA is filed under the name Faecalibacterium prausnitzii. RNAcentral's name for it is "bacterial SSU rRNA". It matches the Rfam family "Bacterial small subunit ribosomal RNA", at positions 42 to 935 of the family's 1533-position model. Lineage: Bacteria; Bacillati; Bacillota; Clostridia; Eubacteriales; Oscillospiraceae. The record is from RNAcentral.